GUCCACCUGACGAGUCCGAGAAUAAGACAAAACGUACGUCUUGGAU
This 46-nucleotide non-coding RNA is filed under the name Schistosoma mansoni. Lineage: Eukaryota; Metazoa; Platyhelminthes; Trematoda; Strigeidida; Schistosomatidae. The record is from RNAcentral.